Molecule: ribosomal RNA, 463 nt
Filed under: uncultured bacterium
Lineage: Bacteria
Description: partial 16S ribosomal RNA
Rfam family: Bacterial small subunit ribosomal RNA
Source: RNAcentral
GAUGAACGCUGACAGAAUGCUUAACACAUGCAAGUCGAUGGGGAAGUGGUGCUUGCACCAUGGCAACCAUGGCGGACGGGUGAGUAACGCGUAAGGGACUUACCUGCAGGACUGGGAUAACAGGGGGAAACUCCUGACAAGACCGGAUAAUGUCAUGGAGCUGCAUGGCUUUAUGAUGAAAGGAGACGCCUGCGGAGAGCCUUGCGUCCUAUUAGCUAGUUGGUGAGGUAAUGGCUCACCAAGGCGAAGAUAGGUAGCCGGCCUGAGAGGGUGGACGGCCACAAGGGGACUGAGAUACGGCCCUUACUCCUACGGGAGGCAGCAGUGGGGAAUAUUGGACAAUGGGGGCAACCCUGAUCCAGCCAUUCUGUGUGCACGAAGAAGGUUUUCGGAUUGUAAAGUGCUUUCAGCAGGGAAGAAGUAAGUGACGGUACCUGCAGAAGAAGCGACGGCUAAAUACGUG